GAUCGCGUAGCUCAGUCGGAUAGAGCGCAACCCUGCGGAGGUUGAGGUCGCUGGUUCGAGUCCAGUCGCGAUCG
This 74-nucleotide transfer RNA is filed under the name Chloroflexota bacterium. RNAcentral describes it as "tRNA-Arg". It matches the Rfam family "tRNA". From Rfam's summary of the family: Transfer RNA (tRNA) molecules are approximately 80 nucleotides in length. Their secondary structure includes four short double-helical elements and three loops (D, anti-codon, and T loops). Lineage: Bacteria; Bacillati; Chloroflexota. The record is from RNAcentral.